AGCAGCCGCGGUAAUUCCAGCUCCAAUAGCGUAUAUUAAAGUUGUUGCAGUUAAAAGCUCGUAGUUGAAUUUCGGGAUUGACACAUCGGUCGUGCCUUAAGGGGUAUGAACUGGUGUAGUCAAUUUCUCACCUUCUGGAGAACCGCGAUGCCCUUAAUUGGGUGUCACGGGGAACCAGGACCUUUACUUUGAAAAAUUAGAGUGUUUAAAGCAGGCAUUUUGCUUGAAUACAUUAGCAUGGAAUAAUAAAAUAGGACGGCAUGAUUCUAUUUUGUUGGUUUCUAGGAUCACCGUAAUGAUUAAUAGGGAUAGUUGGGGGCAUUAGUAUUCAAUUGUCAGAGGUGAAAUUCUUGGAUUUAUUGAAGACUAACUACUGCGAAAGCAUUUGCCAAGGAUGUUUUCAUUAAUCAAGAACGAAAGUUAGGGGAUCGAAGACGAUCAGAUACCGUCGUAGUCUUAACCAUAAACUAUGCCGACUAGGAAUCAGACGAUGUAAUUUUUUAAUGACUCGUUUGGCACC
This 520-nucleotide ribosomal RNA is filed under the name uncultured Entrophospora. RNAcentral describes it as "SSU rRNA". It matches the Rfam family "Eukaryotic small subunit ribosomal RNA", at positions 569 to 1087 of the family's 1831-position model. Lineage: Eukaryota; Fungi; Glomeromycota; Glomeromycetes; Entrophosporales; Entrophosporaceae. The record is from RNAcentral.